UACAGAGGGGGCAAGCGUUGUUCGGAAUUACUGGGCGUAAAGGGCGCGUAGGCGGCCUGCUAAGUCGAACGUGAAUUCCCUGGGCUCAACCCAGGAACUGCGUCCGAUACUGGUUGGCUUGAAUCCGGGAGAGGGAUGUGGAAUUCCAGGUGUAGCGGUGAAAUGCGUAGAUAUCUGGAGGAACACCGGUGGCGAAGGCGACAUCCUGGACCGGUAUUGACGCUGAGGCGCGAAAGCCAGGGGAGCAAACGGG
Molecule: ribosomal RNA, 253 nt
Filed under: uncultured bacterium
Lineage: Bacteria
Description: partial 16S ribosomal RNA
Rfam family: Bacterial small subunit ribosomal RNA
Source: RNAcentral